UCCAAUCGGAACGCUGUCGCUGCCGCAUCUCACCCCCUGUCAUCCAAACACCUCUCCCCUCCCUUGACCCGGUGCUACUCAUUCCUGGUAUUGCCGGUUCCAUUCUUGAAGCUGUUGAUGAGGCUGGAAACAAGGAGCGAGUGUGGGUGCGCAUCCUUGCUGCAGAGCAUGAGUUCCGAGAGAAGCUAUGGUCCAAGUUUGAUGCCUCCACUGGUAAAACGGUUUCUGUGAACGAGAAAGCAAGAAUUGUCGUCCCUGAUGAUAGAUAUGGAUUGUAUGCCAUUGAUACAUUAGAUCCAGGCAUGUGCUAUCUGGGACUUUGGAGGUUUUGAAUUUGGACUUACACUGGAAAAAAAGAUCGGGACUAGAAAAUAGGUUGUUUGAUAAGGAAAUGGAGUAAGUCAGAUCUAUUUGAAUUUUUGUAGCACUCGAAAUUUUCUAUCAGGCACAUAUUAUGUAGCUUUUGGGGGCAAAAGGAUGUUUUUUACUGGAUCUGCAACAAUUGUUUUUGCAAAGUUAUCAUUUCCUCUUUCGUUUUUUUCUUCCUUUGAGAAAUCAAAUAGCUAUUCUUUAGAACUUUCUUUGUUUGAAGAGUCUUGAAUCCUUGAUUAUUUUUCAUGAGAUGAUAUUUGGUCUUAGAAUGUGACCUUCCUCUCAGCCCCUUACUCUCUCUGUCAUCUCUUUAUCUGCGCAAGAUCUGAUUGUGUCGGAGUCAUAUUUCUGUAUUUACAAACACAACUAGCAUGGCCAAGUGGACCGUAGCUCUUUCUGUAAACUUACCAUAUUGGUUUGUUGGACAAUCCGCUUGCGUGUGUGCAGUUGACCAGAAGAAAAAAAAGAUCAUCAAUUUCCCAGUUGGGUAUCAGGAGGGAUUGAUACAUUUCUGCUUCAUUUGCUUACGGAAGUUUAAUUUUUCAGCAUCAAUUUCGGAUUAAUAAUUCAUGUUCCAGUUAGUUAAUAGAAUCUGCUUAGUAUAGCUAUAAACCAGGAUGCCUUCUGAUCUGUUGAUUUCCUGAUUAGGUAGCUGAUCUUCUCUUUCUUUUUUGAUUUACAGUGACUCAGGUCAUAUUCUGCUAAGCCCAUGUGAUAGGGAGUUAUUUAAUGCUCAUAUGUCAUAUCCGAUGGAUUGUUAGGCCUCCCUCAUGAUGAUUCUAACAUUUUUGUUAUUAACUUAUUAUCAUGCUAAUAAAGUUGGCUACAUUUUGGGGGAAACAUGUAUAGUUUUUUUUAUUAAUGUUCGAGUCUUGAGUGCACAAGAAAGGAAGUUAGGAAAGGAGAACCCAACAAAUAUUAAUUAAACAGUUGUAGGAUCACUUGUAUCUUAGAGUAAUUUAAGUGUGCUAUUCAGUUUGUCUAUAUUCAGUAAGAGAACAAGGAGCCUUCAGCUAGGGGGUAAGCCUUGCUUUGUGUGCUACCUGGAAAGUAUUUUGUUUGCCCCUAACUUUUUUGUAAACAUUCACAAUAAGAGUUUUCAAGACUGGGUACAAGUGCAAUUGGGAUAGCUAGCUAUCUUGAAAUUUUUAUUAUUUAAACUUCCUGAGAAGCAUGUCCACAACAUGUUAGAUAAAAUGCCUGCCUAGAUGGGCUGUAAUUUUUUUAUUGGAUGAGAAGGGUCUCUCUGGCUUCAAGUACUUAAAUCAUUACAAUUGACAAAACAGAAUAAAACUGAGUGUAGGCAAAUAUCCAACACACUUAUUUUACUGAGAGGCAGCCCUUAGUUCUCAUAUUCAAAUAACACAAUCUGGGUUUUCAAGAAGUGGAUUGUUGAACAUGUGUGCUGAAGAUCGAAUUGAGGAUACCGUGAUGCUAACGGUGGAUUAUCGACCCAACGGAAAUAAUAAAAAGCAAGGCAAAAGAGCCUUAGAUGGUACAACAGAAAUAUAUCAAUUAAGUAAGGCCAGACAUUAAAUUGGAAUAUUAUCAAGUAGAGAUGACUUCAUAAUGAGGACCAUGUUGUAUGGCCCUCAAAUGUAGCAACACAAAUCUCGAAUUAUUUUUCCUUAUGAAUGUUGCAGUGGCAUGAACAAGGCCUGCAAUUAUCGUACCCUGUUGGUCUACAGCUAUGUAAAAAUGUUAGGUUAUUUUCCCUUGGUUUAGGAUUGCUUCACAAAGAUGGUACUGAUUUCUUUCCCUUUUGAUGUAGUUGUCUUGAUUUUGAUAGUUUUAUUCAGAUUAAUUUAUUUCUAUGGUUAAUUACUAAACUUAUAUCUACCAUUGUUUCCUAGGUCAAGUUGUCAAGGGACACCGAGCAUGACGACGAUGGGGGCAGGCAAUUCUCGUUUCUUCCCUUCUUCCCAUGGUGGUGGAUCCUUCUCUGGUGAUUCAGUAUUCAGAAAUGGCAUAUGCUUGUUUGUUUCCCUGGCUCAAAUAAAUCAAGCCUCCAAGUUACCAUUUGUAUACAAGUUCCUGCAUUCUUCAGCAGUUUGAUCAAUGUUUGGUGUUUGCAUUUUGCAGUCUUCAGUCCUCUACUUCUGAGGUUAGAGGAUAUGGGAUGCUAUCAUCAGUAACCUCCUUCAGAAGGGCCUUGUGAAAGCCGGAAAGUCAGUGUCACCUUGGUAUUGCUCUCAGGUUGUUCAGCAUGAGGCCUAGCUACAUUCUUGCACUGUGAGAGCCACAAGGAGCGUCUCGGAGGUGCUGCCAUGGUGAAAUGCCUGAGUGAUGCCGGGUGGGACUUUUCUGGGAACAACACCAUAAGGCAGUUCUUUAGCGUUGCGGCGGAGGACUUCGAUGUGGCCUUCGCCGCCAUGGGGUUGCUCGUUGUCAUUCUUUGUUUCGUUGCCAUGGCACUGCUCCUACCCGUCGCCGUCCUGGUCCGGCUGCUGCGCUCGUGCCAUGGGAAAUGGCUUAUCAGGGUAUGGGGAAUCGGCGAGUUGAGGUGGGUUUGGUGGUUUCAUGAUGAGAUGGUGGCAUGGGAUUUGAUGUUAGUUUCUUUAAUGAAGGGAUUUGGGGCUACGAGUUGUGCGUUGCUAGCCGGGAAUUUUUAGUCGGGUUACAUUUGUCGUUGGAGAUUUUGUAGGAUGUUAGCCUCGCCAAUAAUUACAUUAAUACAUGAUUUUUGUUUGGAUCAGC
Molecule: long non-coding RNA, 3069 nt
Organism: Phragmites australis (common reed)
Lineage: Eukaryota; Viridiplantae; Streptophyta; Magnoliopsida; Poales; Poaceae
Exons: 6
Source: RefSeq, a predicted model, not a curated record